Molecule: ribosomal RNA, 253 nt
Filed under: uncultured bacterium
Lineage: Bacteria
Description: partial 16S ribosomal RNA
Rfam family: Bacterial small subunit ribosomal RNA
Source: RNAcentral
UACAGAGGUCUCAAGCGUUGUUCGGAUUCAUUGGGCGUAAAGGGUGCGUAGGUGGCGAGGCAAGUCAGAUGUGAAAUCCCGGGGCUCAACCCCGGAACUGCAUUUGAAACUGCCUUGCUCGAGUACUGGAGAGGAGACUGGAAUUUACGGUGUAGCAGUGAAAUGCGUAGAUAUCGUAAGGAAGACCAGUGGCGAAGGCGAGUCUCUGGACAGUUACUGACACUGAGACGCGAAAGCGUGGGGAGCGAACAGG